Molecule: ribosomal RNA, 491 nt
Filed under: uncultured bacterium
Lineage: Bacteria
Description: partial 16S ribosomal RNA
Rfam family: Bacterial small subunit ribosomal RNA
Source: RNAcentral
GUGAACGCUGGCGGUAGGCCUAACACAUGCAAGUCGAACGGCAGCACAGUAAGCGCUUGCUCUUACGGGUGGCGAGUGGCGGACGGGUGAGGAAUACAUCGGAAUCUACUUUUUCGUGGGGGAUAACGUAGGGAAACUUACGCUAAUACCGCAUACGACCUACGGGUGAAAGCAGGGGGUCUUCGGACCUUGCGCGAUUGAAUGAGCCGAUGUCGGAUUAGCUAGUUGGCGGGGUAAAGGCCCACCAAGGCGACGAUCCGUAGCUGGUCUGAGAGGAUGAUCAGCCACACUGGAACUGAGACACGGUCCAGACUCCUACGGGAGGCAGCAGUGGGGAAUAUUGGACAAUGGGCGCAAGCCUGAUCCAGCCAUACCGCGUGGGUGAAGAAGGCCUUCGGGUUGUAAAGCCCUUUUGUUGGGAAAGAAAAGCAGCAGGUUAAUACCCCGCUGUUCUGACGGUACCCAAAGAAUAAGCACCGGCUAACUUCGUG